Molecule: small RNA, 102 nt
Filed under: Flavobacterium aquicola
Lineage: Bacteria; Pseudomonadati; Bacteroidota; Flavobacteriia; Flavobacteriales; Flavobacteriaceae
Description: Flavo-1 RNA
Rfam family: Flavo-1 RNA
Source: RNAcentral
AUUUAGCCCCGAUCGAAGUGGAAAUCUCCCGAUUUAGAAAAACAAGGCUUUUUAGCCGUAGUUUUACUUAAGCGGGAAUUGCAGCGGAGAGCGGGAGGAAAC